RNAcentral lists this unclassified non-coding RNA (383 nucleotides) under soil metagenome. RNAcentral's name for it is "partial contains 5.8S ribosomal RNA, internal transcribed spacer 2, and large subunit ribosomal RNA". The stretch from base 3 to 119 matches the Rfam family "5.8S ribosomal RNA", at positions 38 to 154 of the family's 154-position model. The record is from RNAcentral.
GAGAAGAACGCAGCGAAAUGCGAUAAGUAAUGUGAAUUGCAGAAUUCAGUGAAUCAUCGAAUCUUUGAACGCACCUUGCACCCUUUGGCAUUCCGAAGGGUAUGCUCGUUUGAGUGUCAUUGUACUCUCACUCUCCCGAUGCUUUUGGAUCGGGAGUGGUGGACUUGGGUGUUGCUGCUUUGCUGUGGCUCGCCUCAAAUGGAGUAGUGCAACUCUUGGUUGGACAUAGUACGGCGUGAUAAGUGUCUUCGCCGGCGCCUCAUUAUAGAGGGUGGCCGAUCGGGAGCUCUGUGCUUCAAACCGUCUUCGGACAACAUCUGACAACUUGACCUCAAAUCGAGUAGGACUACCCGCUGAACUUAAGCAUAUCAAUAAGCGGAGGA